Mus musculus (house mouse) is the source of this 2495-nucleotide long non-coding RNA. RefSeq annotates it as predicted gene, 38795. NCBI's taxonomy places the organism in Eukaryota, Metazoa, Chordata, Mammalia, Rodentia, Muridae. The transcript is spliced from 2 exons. The record is from RefSeq and is a predicted model, not a curated record.
GCCACAACCUUUAUUUGGGUAGAGAAAGGGAAGUGAGAGAGGAGGUCAGGUGCUUACUGAGAGGACCAGAGUCCAGGCAGAGAGAAGACAAUUUAGUAAUGGAGAAACUCAGGGACUUGUGGCUUUCUAGAAAUGGAAACAAGCCCCCAAACCAAGAUGGCAGUAUGAACUUAAUAGAGCCUCUUCCGUGGAAGAGAAUGGAUGAGACUUGAACCCCACAAUUCUUUAUCUUGUAACUUGAAAGCCAUGGUAAAGCCAGGUGGCAUAUAAGAGGCUCUCAGGAGAGACCUUGAUCCCAGGUACAGAUUCCAUCCUGGUGACUUACCUGAAGCAAAUCCCAGAAUUACCACAGCCAUCAGCCAGCAGAAUCGCAUCAAGUCACCAAAAAUCAUCUACAAAGAGGAGGAGGCAGAGAACACUACCUUCAGAGCAGUUACCCACCUGACACCAGCAAGUCUAACCCCAAACAUCAACCCAUACCAGGAUGGGCUGGCAAACUACAGCCUGCCAGCUAAGUCUGCCUGCCCUGUCUUGGUGAGGUUCUUAAACUAAGGAGUUUUAAAAGCUUGUAAGAGGAUUUUAAAUGUUUUCAAAGAAAGACAGUGAGAAAAGUAUAUAAAAAGAAUGAUGUCAGGGUCACAGCACCUGCAAUAUGUACCUCCUGGCCCUCUGGGAAAGUGUUAACCUUGGUCUGAGACUCUAUUAGAAGCGUGGGGGAGGAACUGACCUUCUGAAUCAUGAUGGUGAAGGGACCCAGCAUCUGGAAUCCUCUGGCAAAGUACAUGACAUUGCACCAGCCCAACACCAGAGCAAAGGACAUGGGCACCACUUCUCCAUCUACAUUGGUGAGUCGCAUCACCAUGGUCACCAGCACCAUGAAGGCAUAAGUGAUACUGGGGGGGCAAGAAAAGUGGGUCUAAUGAGAAAGAAGCCAGGCUCAUCCUGGGGACCUAGCAACAAGAGUGCAGCUGAAAUAUACCUCAUACUAUAUCAGACUCAGCCUUGACAACAUUCAGUACUCUGAGGUUACACAUUACAGAGAGAACUCGGAGAUAAGGGAAGGUGGGAGAUGCUCUAAUGAGAUGAAGGAUGGAAAUGAAAUGGAGACACUCACAUGAUGACAUGGAAUGGCCCCCCGAGAAUGGUCUGUCCAAAGAAUCGAGUGACCCCCAACCUGAAGAUGUCUGGAAUCUGGAAAGAAGUCAGAGACAAAGGCAUUUGUAGCCCAGAAUGCAGACUGGACCCCUGGGUCAGAUGGCCUCCAGUAGGAUUCUAUCCACACCUCACCUCCACCAGCAGGAUGAUCACAGCCCCAACGAUGCUCACGAGUUCCCCCACCAACCGGAGGUCAUCCUUAGGGGUCACAUAGGCCUCCUAAGGAGGAAAAAUGUUGGUAAAUCACCUGUCUUUGACAUAAUCUAGUUUCCAAAGUCCCUGGCUCUUUCAGGUUUUUGUUUGUUUGUUUGUUUUCUAGCCCAUCAGAUUCAGCUAGUCUCAAAACUCUGCUCCUAGAGUAAGAAUGUAUGCAUGUCUCUGUGUGUAUUUGUGGACUCUGUGCCCUCUUAGGAGAUCUAGGUGAGAGGGGAAAAGCUGGUGUGGAGUCAAAGUGGGACAGCGCUAUGGAAAACAGAUUCCUAGUGUACUAUCUGUCCCUCCCCAGGUGUCACCUGAAGGAGCUUCUGUUGCAUCAGAGUGUUGUCCCGGGGGUUGGUGCGGUUAGUGAUCCUGGGCUUGAGCGGGCGGUAGACACAGCACAUGGUAAAGCAGAUGAUGUACAGCACAUAGAUGGCACCCAGCACGCAGAAGUAGGGCCGCCCAUACCUCUUCCACUUGAGGCUCACCAGUUCCUUUACAGGUGUCUGGUCCAGGAUCUGGCGAGCCUGCCACAGAAAGAAUAGAAAAGUGUCUCCAUGACCCUAUCACCCCUCACCAAGGCCUGUGCUGUGAAAGACUGUACCUCCCGUUUCUUGGUAGUAACAAUAAGUUCCAGUAGGGAUUGAUCAUCUCCUGAGGAGUCAAUCUCAGUGAGGUCAUACAGUGUGGAGGUCAAUGGCCCAUAUGUCCACUGGAUGUGUUUCCGCUUCUGCAUCAGGUGUUGGAACAUCUGAAAGAGAGGUGAGAUAGUCAGGACUCAAAGCUGCAUGGAAUAGCACAGCCCAGAAGGAAAGGACUAGAGGAGAAGGGAUUUUCAUUCUCUUAAAGAACACAGCCUUUGGAAAGCCAAAUAGUGCAUGCCACCCAAAUCCUAGAUUUAUCUUGCUCCAGGAAUCAUUCCAAGCCUGGAGCUAUGAGGGGAUUGGCAGAUCUCUUCUGGGAAGGACAAAUUGGCUUGGGCAUUGCAGAAAAUCUCAGCAUGAGGUCUAGACUACAUGAAUUCUCUGUACUUCACUAGGAGUAAACAUGCAGGGAAAAAAAAAAGCAGGAUGGUGGUGGGGAGCAGGGGCAUGAAAGACAUAGGCUGAAACAGAGCCUAAUUAAAACAGAAUGGGAUCUAA